GAUGAACGCUAGCUACAGGCUUAACACAUGCAAGUCGAGGGGUAACAAGAGAAAAGCUUGCUUUUCUUGUUGACGACCGGCGCACGGGUGAGUAACGCGUAUCCAACCUGCCUAUAACUAGGGAAUAACCUUGCGAAAGUAAGACUAAUACCCUAUGAUUUCCUUUGAUGACAUCAGAUUAGGAAUAAAGAUUUAUCGGUUAUAGAUGGGGAUGCGUCUGAUUAGCUUGUUGGCGGGGUAACGGCCCACCAAGGCAACGAUCAGUAGGGGUUCUGGGAGGAAGGUCCCCCACAUUAGAACUGAGACACGGUCCAAACUCCUACGGGAGGCGGCAGUGAGGAAUAUUGGUCAAUGGGCGGAAGCCUGAACCAGCCAAGUAGCGUGCAGGAUGACGGCCCUAUGGGUUGUAAACUGCUUUUAUACAGGAAUAAAGUUAGCCACGUGUGGUUAUUUGUAGGUACUGUAUGAAUAAGGACCGGCUAAUUCCGUGCCAGCAGCCGCCGUAA
RNAcentral lists this ribosomal RNA (506 nucleotides) under uncultured bacterium. RNAcentral's name for it is "partial 16S ribosomal RNA". It matches the Rfam family "Bacterial small subunit ribosomal RNA", at positions 28 to 523 of the family's 1533-position model. The record is from RNAcentral.